CAACGUUGAACCGACGUUGAAAAUAUGUUGAAAUUUGGUUGUAACGUUGAUCAACGUAAAAUCAACGUUGUAUCAACGUCAAUUGUAUCAACGUUUAAAACACGUUGUUGUAUCAACGUUGAUUUGUGGUUAGAAUUUCCAACGUUGAACUGCCAACGUUGAAUCAACAUUGAAUUUGAGUUGAUGCUUUCAAUGCUUUAAUUGGUUGAAAAUAUAACGUUGAUAAACGGUUUAGUUAAGGUUGGUGACUUUAUAUGUCAACCAAAAUUUCAAUCAAGAUGAGAUUGAUCGACCAAAUUUUAUGUAUAUUCCUUUUUGCUUAAUUGAUAAUUUUUAUAUUGGUUUAAUGAUGUUUUUGAAUAAAUUCAACGAUUAAUGUUUCAUAUAUAAAUUAAUCUUUUAAUUGCGAUAAAAUUAUUAUAUUAUAAUUACUCGAAACGGAUAUCUUUUUCUGAUUGGCACAUGCGUAGAAGACAGACAUUUCGAAUUUAUUUGCGCCAAUUUGGUUACCACAUUAGUUGCUCUCGGCAGAGUAAAAUGAUGUCUUACCAAAAAAACAUGUCUGUAAAGUACAUCUCGUAUAAAAAGAAUAAAUAUGCCUAUGGUGUCCAAGCUUGACCGAUUGAAAUAAUAAGAGAUGCUGUAGUAACAAGUUUCGAAUGUAAACAUUAGACCUUAAUAUGGAACAACAGUACAAGAUGUCUAGCAGAUGGACUAUUUUUUUUCUUAAAUAAAAUUAAAUAUUCAAGUUG
This is a long non-coding RNA of Mytilus trossulus (common blue mussel), 752 nucleotides long. RefSeq lists it as uncharacterized. NCBI's taxonomy places the organism in Eukaryota, Metazoa, Mollusca, Bivalvia, Mytilida, Mytilidae. The transcript has 3 exons. The record is from RefSeq and is a predicted model, not a curated record.